GAUGAAGAACGUAGUGAAAUGCGAUAAGUAAUGUGAAUUGCAGAAUUCAGUGAAUCAUCGAAUCUAUGAACGCACAUUGCGCCCGCCAGUAUUCUGGCGGGCAUGCCUGUCUGAGCGUCAUUUCAACCCUCAUGCCCCUAGGGCGUGGUGUUGGGGAUCGGCCAAAGCCCGCGAGGGACGGCCGGCCCCUAAAUCUAGUGGCGGACCCGUCGUGGCCUCCUCUGCGAAGUAGUGAUAUUCCGCAUCGGAGAGCGAUGAGCCCCUGCCGUUAAACCCCCAACUUUCCAAGGUUGACCUCAGAUCAGGUAGGAAUACCCGCUGAACUUAAGCAUAUCAAUAAGCGGAGGA
This 348-nucleotide unclassified non-coding RNA is filed under the name soil metagenome. Its description in RNAcentral is "partial contains 5.8S ribosomal RNA, internal transcribed spacer 2, and large subunit ribosomal RNA". The stretch from base 1 to 120 matches the Rfam family "5.8S ribosomal RNA", at positions 35 to 154 of the family's 154-position model. The record is from RNAcentral.